Molecule: long non-coding RNA, 688 nt
Organism: Carassius auratus (goldfish)
Lineage: Eukaryota; Metazoa; Chordata; Actinopteri; Cypriniformes; Cyprinidae
Exons: 4
Source: RefSeq, a predicted model, not a curated record
UACACAAUUAUUUUAAAUCAGUCUGAACUAAAUCCAUACAACCUUAAAAGAGCUCAAUUCAUUUGUGUCGAAACAACAAAAAAUAAUGAUUCAAGUCAAACUACUACUUUUGCGCAUGCGCUAAUGACAGGAAAUCCACGUGACCUCGUCAGUUAUCGCGGGCGCCAUUAUGUGGUGGAGUCCAGUCCAUGGUGGAAUGCUGUAGAAUUGGUUUUUACAAGAGCUCAUUAAAUGAUAUCCUAUACUUGGGUUAUAGUCUACUUUUUCACAUGGUUUACAAGAGCAAUAAACAGCAUCCCAUGCUUGGGUUUUAGUAAACUUUUUCAUGUGAACAACAGCGUAGACAUGGAAAGAGAAUGCAUCCUCAAAAAGCACUGUGUGUAUACAUAAAGGAGGACCAUCUACAGCUGUUCAAGGAGUACAAUGUAAGCAACUGCUUUUCUCUUCUUCACUUUUAUGUUUGCAUUAAAAUCUAACCGUACCAUUCUCUACUUACGGUUCGGCAUGCACUUGAACCGCGGUCCACCUCUAAUGAUGCGAGUGCCGUAUGCUGCUCUAACGUCUAGUCAUGAACGCUGUUGCUAUCUUUGUGUAAACAAAACUCAUUUAAGCCUUGCUAACUUAAACAUUCAAGAGCAAGACGCAAAAGAGAACUGUGAGAUGAUUUGUGAGUGUGCUCAUCCAAAGC